GGAAAUUAGGUGCGCUUGGCACUGGGGUUCAGGAAACUGAACCUCAGUAAGCAUUGGCUCGUUUCCAAUGUUGAUUGCUCCGCCGGUGCUCCUUAUUUUUAAGGGCGCCGGCA
Molecule: unclassified non-coding RNA, 113 nt
Filed under: Corynebacterium diphtheriae
Lineage: Bacteria; Bacillati; Actinomycetota; Actinomycetes; Mycobacteriales; Corynebacteriaceae
Description: Guide RNA from Corynebacterium diphtheriae (PDB 6JOO, chain B)
Source: RNAcentral